RNAcentral lists this ribosomal RNA (425 nucleotides) under uncultured bacterium. Its description in RNAcentral is "partial 16S ribosomal RNA". It matches the Rfam family "Bacterial small subunit ribosomal RNA", at positions 354 to 796 of the family's 1533-position model. The record is from RNAcentral.
GUGGGGAAUAUUGGACAAUGGGCGCAAGCCUGAUCCAGCCAUGCCGCGUGAGUGAUGAAGGCCCUAGGGUUGUAAAGCUCUUUCACCGGAGAAGAUAAUGACGGUAUCCGGAGAAGAAGCCCCGGCUAACUUCGUGCCAGCAGCCGCGGUAAUACGAAGGGGGCUAGCGUUGUUCGGAAUUACUGGGCGUAAAGCGCACGUAGGCGGACAUUUAAGUCAGGGGUGAAAUCCCGGAGCUCAACUCCGGAACUGCCUUUGAUACUGGGUGUCUGGAGUAUGGAAGAGGUGAGUGGAAUUCCGAGUGUAGAGGUGAAAUUCGUAGAUAUUCGGAGGAACACCAGUGGCGAAGGCGGCUCACUGGUCCAUUACUGACGCUGAGGUGCGAAAGCGUGGGGAGCAAACAGGAUUAGAUACCCUAGUAGUCC